RNAcentral lists this ribosomal RNA (487 nucleotides) under uncultured bacterium. Its description in RNAcentral is "partial 16S ribosomal RNA". It matches the Rfam family "Bacterial small subunit ribosomal RNA", at positions 899 to 1397 of the family's 1533-position model. The record is from RNAcentral.
ACUCAAAGGAAUAGACGGGGACCCGCACAAGCAGUGGAGUAUGUGGUUUAAUCCGAUGCUAAGCGAAAAACCUUACCGAGGCUUGACAUCUCUGGAAGGCUCCCGAAAGGGAGCUGUGCCGCUUGCGGAACCAGAUGACAGAUGCUGCAUGGCCGUCGUCAGCUCGUGUCGUGAGAUGUUGGGUUAAGUCCCGCAACGAGCGCAACCCUUGUCGUGUGUUACACUUUCACACGAGACUGCCCGGGCAACCGGGAGGAAGGUGAGGAUGACGUCUGGUCGGCAUGGCUCUUACGCCUCGGGCUACACACGUACUACAAUGGCCGUUACAAAGGGUUUUGCCAAGCCGUAAGGUGGAGCUAAUCCCAUCAAAAGCGGUCUCAGUUCGGAUUGAGGGCUGAAACUCGCCCUCAUGAAGUCGGAAUUGCUAGUAAUGGCGGAUCAGCACGCCGCCGUGAAUACGUUCCCGGGUCUUGCACACACCGCCCGU